CCAAGGAGUCUUGCAAACGCGCGAGUCACUGGGCUCGUNCGAACCCCAAGGGCGCAAUGAAAGUGAAGGNCCGCCCCUCGCGGGUAGCCUCAGGUGGGAUCCCGGCCCUCCGGGUUGGGCGCACCACCGGCCCGCCUCGCCGGCCCCGUUCGGGAGGCGGAGCAGGAGCGUGUUUGCAGGGACCCGAAAGAUGGUGAACUAUGCCUGAGCAGGGUGAAGCCAGAGGAAACUCUGGUGGAGGCCCGCAGCGGUUCUGACGUGCAAAUCGAUCGUCUGACUUGGGUAUAGGGGCGAAAGACUAAUCGAACCAUCUA
RNAcentral lists this ribosomal RNA (314 nucleotides) under Thysanocardia nigra. RNAcentral describes it as "eukaryotic LSU rRNA". It matches the Rfam family "Eukaryotic large subunit ribosomal RNA", at positions 666 to 946 of the family's 3401-position model. The record is from RNAcentral. Lineage: Eukaryota; Metazoa; Annelida; Sipuncula; Golfingiida; Golfingiidae.